Non-coding RNA from Rattus norvegicus (Norway rat), 14196 nucleotides. Lineage: Eukaryota; Metazoa; Chordata; Mammalia; Rodentia; Muridae. The record is from RefSeq and is a predicted model, not a curated record.
GAGCCACUUCCGGAACAGUCGGGAGCCUGCGAGACUUCCAGCCUCUGUGUAGGCUAGAGCGGCACGACGGGCCGGCGUGUGCGGCCAUGGAGGACGAGAAGAGCUUCUCCGAUAUCUGCGGCGGCCGCCUGGCCCUGCGGCGCCGCUACUAUUCACCGUACUGCCGCGAAUUCGGCCUCAGCUCGGCUCGGCUGUCGCUGUGGUCGCUCACCGCUGUCACCUGUACGGUGUGGCUGGCGGCCUACGGGCUCUUCACCCUGUGCGAGAAUAGCAUGAUCCUCUCUGCCGCCAUCUUCAUCACUAUCUUAGGCCUGCUUGGUUACCUCCACUUUGUGAAGAUUGAUCAGGAGACUCUAUUAAUCAUCGACUCACUUGGCAUCCAGAUGACUUCGUCCUAUGCAUCGGGCAAAGAAAGUACCACCUUCAUAGAGAUGAACAAGGUCAAGGAUAUUAUCAUUAAUGAGGCUAUUUACAUGCAGAAGGUCAUUUACUACCUCUGCAUUUUACUGAAGGAUCCAGGGAAACCACAUGAGAUAUCCCAAGUAGUGCCUGUCUUCCAGGAGAAGCACUGGCAAGCCCGUAAAGGAACACAGGUCAGUGAAGAUAAACAAUGAGUGAUAACUCAACUGUGGACCAGGGUCUGGUCAGAAAUGGACAAGGAGACAGUGAGGAGGAGGGGGCUGCAGACUGGACCGAUGGGCUUAUGACCAGACAGAGGGGAGAGAAACUCCAGGGAAAACAGCAUCUGAGGGUCUGGGUAAUUCCUUUUCCUGUCACUCACCUGAGCAGCAAAGAGCUUAGCACCAAAGAGAGGCCAUUUCCGAGCCACAGUCAGGUAGAUGCGGAUGCACUCAGGAGGGGAGCAGCCUUGUAAUGCUGCCCACUUGGUGGCCAUCAUGUCUGCCAAGUGCCUGUAGAAAGACAUGCUAGUGAAGUGCCUGCCUGUUUUCAUUACAGCUCCCAGGCUUCCCCACAGGUUUCCUCCAGCCCACCUCAGCUGCUCAGGGGGUGCUCCAUUUCGAUAGUGCCUUGGGUAAAACCUGUCAAGGACCUGCUGGAGGAGAUGCUGGGCUUUGGCCGGAGGUGUACCCCCAGGGCCUGGCAGCGUAGGUUUCUCCAAGUCCCCAUACUCCACCUGAGGUGGAAAGAGAUAGCAGUCGUGAGUCUGGGUGGUUGUGCUGUUCGAGAAGUGGACAAGCCCCUUACCGAAUCACUGCCUUAUCAGAUAACAAUGGCAAGAAUUAACCCCAUGUUUCAUAGACAUUAGAGAACCAUCCUGAAGGUCCUAGAAGAUGGAAGGGCUUACAGACUGGAGGACAGAAGAGGGCUUGGUGUCACCGGCUCAGGCAUCAGCCCCUUGAACUUUGUUCAAGUUAUUUAAACUCUGAAUGUCAACCCUGUCCUAAGUGGGGAUGGAAAGUACGCAGAUACAUCUGGAAUGCUGCUUGUGACUUGCUGCAGACAAUUCACACUGAUGACUAUAACUAUGAAGACCACCGUGCAGCCCAGGCUGGCCUGCCACCCGGACUGGCCUUGAACUUGUGCCAACUCUGCCUUAGCUCUCCAAAUGCUGAGAUUAUAGGUGUGUGCCACCACACCUGACUGCAUCUGUAGGAGCCAUGGAUACCCCUGGCAGAGAGCCUUCUAUAUGAAAGACGAAGGGGAGCCAUUCAAAUGCAUGCCCAUGCACAUACCCUGGAUGGCGGCAGGAAGGGAGUUGUGUUCUUCAAAUACACAGAAAUAAACUGAAGCACCAAAGCAACUUGACCAAGUUCUCAUAUUGGAGGGAGGCCGGGACAUAAGCCCAGGCUUUCAGUUCCCUGUUGUCUCCCCUGCACACAGCAUCCAUGUGCAGUGAGUAAGGAGGUCACUGCCUCCGUACAACAGAGCCCCUCCCUGCUGCCCCAGGAUCUGCAGUCUUCCAUCAGGUUUCAUGGUGUUUUCAACAGGAAGAAACCUACCUGUGCCAUCAAGGCAGCCAUUUCGAGGGCCAGUUCCUUGGUGACUGGAAAUCUUCCUGCCACUAUUUCGCCACUGGUUUGGAAGGCAAGUAGCAGCCGCUCUCUCUCUGUCUCCCCUUUUACUUGACUUCGAAAGUAUAGCCUAUAGUGAAGACAGUGAAAAACCAGAUCUCAGCUGGCACCCUGAACAAAAAUAAGGCUUUCCCUGACUCUUUCUCUUGACCCCUCAAGUGAGGAUAACUGUUUACACCAUUUGUAAGCCUCUUUUCUACUACCCACGAAAUUUGUAGCCAAGCCUAACCUAGAUGUGGGCAUGCAGGUCUCACGCAGAGGAACAGAUGGUUAGUCCUGAACACACCACCACUACACAUGGACUUUGCAUGAAGAUUAUGGUACCUCUACACAGUUUAUUAGAGGUCUGGAUGAACUAAGACUCCCAAGAGACUAAUGGAAAAUAUUUGCCUAGAGGCAUACUGGGACAAAUGUCUCUUACUUAAAUUGGUAGAAAGUACCUGUGUGUGUCCUGAAGUUGAUAUACGGGAAAUUUUUAUUCCUUAGCUUUAAAUAUUUCGUGCUUAUUCAAAUCUGUACUCUCAGAGGGUAAUGUACAGCAUCCCCUGGCCUCAGUAUGCUUUUGUGGCACGUAUGCAUACAUACCCGUGUGCACAUGGCAGUCUAGAGAGUGCCAACAGAACACCUGUACUGUCACCAUCUCCUGAGGGAGCGAUCAGAAGCCCUCAUGCCCACCCCACCCUCAGCAGCUCUCAGGACCUGUUCUUGUACAUCAGCUUCACAACUCGUGUCCCACCCUCAGACUUUCCGGGAUGCAGCUCCUUCAGCGUUUGCUCCCACUUGGAGAUGGCAUCGCAGAUCUUAAAGAGGAAAAGAGGAGUGUCAGCAAGGCCCCGGGGCUGGGGUGGGGAUGAGGUCCGGCCAAGCCGAGUGACGCUCUGCUUUAGACGGCUGCCCUGUGAGGUCUCAGGCUGCAAGGAUGGGAAGUGCCUACCAAUUCCCUUUCAGAUAAGGAGCUGGAGAGCACCAUGGAUGUAGUUAGCACUGCAAGAAAUGAUCACUGCCAAACUGGCUUUGUGAAGACUAGCAUCUGAGGGACCAGACUAGGCAGGCCCCAGUCAAAGUCCAUGGCAUCGUGGCUCCAUUUUUAUUUCACUCACCACAUUCCCCUUUCAAUAAAUACACCCAAAGCCUGCUCUGACCAAAGCCUUACAGAUACCCAUACAUUUACUAGGAGGGUAUGUGGCAGUUUUUCCAUGCACUGUUAAAGACUAGCCCUUUGUUCCAGGAUAAGGAAGAAAGCAGAUGCUGGAGCCAGAUGCGCCCAUCCAUUCCUACAAACACUUAACACCCCAGACCACUGAACAGACCAACCGAGGACCCCGCCCCAAACUCAGCAUCCAUGAGCAUCUGUCUGUAAGCAUGGGCAGACAGAGGAAAAGCUAGGUGAUAGUCCCACCCCCUGGUUGUCAGCACAGCUGCUGACCUAAGAGGGCAGACAGCAUGGGGACAAGCUUGGCCGAGCUCCCUCAUCUUUACCCUGGGCUAAGAGGCUCUGCCCCGGAUGCUGCACAGUCCUGUGAGGGAGACAGGACUGUGAGGAUUUGUCUCCAGGGUCGAGGCCUGCAUAGAUAAUACAUUUUAGGAUGUCACUGAAAUGUUGGCCUGGAGAUAGCAUCUUGGUUUCAGUGCCACUCAGGGCUCUGAAGAGUUAGGCGCGCACACGGGACGGGCUCUGACCCACCACCUGUAUCUCUGAGCUAAGAGGAAGAGUGGGACGUUUACCUUGACACGCCCUUGGAGACAGUGCUCCAGGUCCCUGCCCGAAGGAUCAUCUGUGAAGAGGGCAAAGCCAGACUGGGAUGGCUUUCUCAUGCCUGUCUCCUGGUUCAGCCGCUGGAGGAACUCAUCAACUGUGGAGGAGCCAUCAAAACCAACCACCUGGGGAUGGGGAGAGGAACCCUGAACCAGCAAACCUCCUGAGGAACUGUCACAGGGGAUCACGGAAGGGUCUGAACACAGCGUGGAGAGGUACAAGGGUGGGGGCAAGAUGUCAAAGCCACAUCCCAUUCAGAAGAACCUGAGCCUGCCCACUAAACUGGAACCGGACAGAGGCCUAGUUACUCUUUUGUAGUCAGUAUUCUGGGAGUUUUAUCUCAGGCUUUUCUGGUCCAAUGUCUCAGCUUCCCUGUUCCCAUGAUGGGUUCAGGAGACCUAACUGCAAGGCACCAAGUAGUUCCAUACUUUGGAUUCAAACUCGUUUCUCCUUUCACACACUAUACUACGAAUGCCAUUCCCACCUCGAAUCUAGGCUAAAUCUGAAAGCCUACAAGGUUUAGCAGCAGCCAGAAGUGUUCUCUGGACAGUGAUAUGGACAGACCUGGGACAGGCACGUGCUCAACCUCCUACCUGGUAAGUCCCAUUGGCAAAGUGCACAGGGAUGCUGAAGGGCAAGGAGUGAUGGAAGGGGUUCCGAAGCAAGAUGGACACCACUUCCAUCCGCGAUGGUCUGGCCUCCCGUUCUCCUGUCUGCAGGGUUCGCUCCACGGCUCGCUGGCAGUAUAUGGCAUACUGACCAGUUUCACUUCUGAAAACAGAAGGAAAUAUUGGGAAUUCCUUCCUCUUGGCACCCUGUGGUAUAUACCACACCGAGCCAGGAUAAAAGCUAACUGGACUGGUUGUGUGGACCUGAAAACUAGCAUGGGAUGUCAUUACAUUUUUAUUUGGGGAGGGAGUACACUUGUGGAGGUUAGAGGAUAACUUGUGGGAGCUGUUCUCUCCUACCGUGUGGGUCCUGGGAGUCGUCAGCCUUGGCAGCAAAUCUCCUUUACCUACUGAGCCCCCUCACCUGGUGCAUUUGUCACUGUGGACCUAUUAUUCGCAGCACAUGGCUGCCAUGGCUGGCUGGCUGGCUGGCUGGCUGGCUGGCUGGCUUCCUUCCUUCCUUCCUUCCUUCCUUCCUUCCUUCCUUCCUUCCUUUCCUUCUUGCAGGAUAUUUGAUCACAUUGUGAACCCCAAGAUUGUGCUAUUUACUGUAAAGCCUUGUUUCUAGUGGUGGCUUAGCCCUUAGCACCAGCCUUUAAUCCUUCUUGAUGGAAUAUAGGCACACCCUUUGCACACACCUUUAAUCGCAAACAAUGAAGGUAAAGUUAAUUUGUAUAAGGAAGCACCCAGGCUUGAAAGUGAUGUCUAACUGAGUGGCAGACAUGACACAUCAGAAUAGGAUAUGCCCAGCUCUCAGGAGAAGAGAGAGGAAAGAGAAGCCACUGGAGAGAGCAGUGCAGAGAGGAAGAGGAGGAGGCGAUUUUACAGGGAGUUUCACAGAGACAGGUUGCAGUGAGAGAACAAGCUAGACACGGGUGAAGACAGAAUGAGCCAGAGAACGAGAAGGAGCCAGAGGACUAGAACGUAUUCCCAAAGUCAAGCAAUUCAGGAGAGGCAGGGAGAGAGAAGCCAGACUGAAUCAGUCAGCUUGGAGAGGAGUUAGAGCCAGAAUGGCCAAUGUGAACCAACCAGCCAGAGCUCAGAAGGAGCUAGGAAGGGGUGAGUGUAUUCUGUAGCAACUUUCAGAGGCUGAAAACAUUCCAGGCCUAGAAAAGAUGGCAAGGAGGCUAGAAGCUUCCAGGACUAGGCCUAGGUUAGCUGACAGAGGCAGCAAGCCUGGGAGAUGACAGUCACUUCAGGCAAAUAAAAGAUACUAUUACCUUUCCUCCCUCCCUCCACCCCUUCUUAAAACCUAUACUAGGGAUCUAAGCCAGGGCCUGGUGUCUGCCCUAGCUGAGCUCUUCCCUACCCCUAUACUCGGGUAUUUUCUUACAGCCAGAAGAAGAGGAAAUAAACAUUUGGGGAUAAUGUGGGAUAGCAUGGCCAUUCCAUGAGAAUGUCCCCCAAAUACCCAAGCACACAGAGAUUGGUGUUCAAAGCUAAAGUCUCCACCUGCUCAGGUGUACACAGUGAGUCUCUCAACCCUGAGCAGCUCUGAGGGGAGAUGCAGUUAGUUCAACCUCUUCCUCCCCCUCAUCCCUUUGAAUCAUGCCUGUCAAUAGUGUGGUAGUGACAGAGAGAAUGCUCUCACUCACCUGGGAUCUGCAUGGCGUUGAAGCUGCUGUUUGACAUACCAGAGGAAGUGGUGCUGAGGCAGGAAGAGUGGGGCACACAGAGCCAGGAGCUGCCAGCACUGCCAUGGAACAGGCAGUGUGGUCAGUGGUGGGUUCCUGCCAUUGCAGUUUUGAGCUACAGAACCUACACUGUUUUCCCCCAACCAGAACCUCAACCCCCCUGACAGGCACUGGGAUAGCUGCCUUGGCCAGGCAUUGCCCAGAAUGGUAGUCACACUGUGAGCACGCACACAUCAGGCAACCAUGCUCAAGCAACUUGCUGCACAGAAGCUGCCCACUGUUUAGGACGGGAGAACACCUGCCCAGGCACCUGCUCCCUCCUUCUCUACCCCCUAACCAGCUCUUACAAAUGGCUCCAGCCAGUUAAAUCCCAGCGCAUGCUCACCUGCAUGAGAGAGUACUUCUGAGGUGGGCGGCGACUGAUCUGCUUCAUGAGCUGGCAGUAGAUCUCACUCUGUAGCUCGGGGUGAACGAGGCAGACCUGCAGUGCUGUCUGAGCCAGCGACACGUGGUAGUCCACCGAGGCGGCUUCCACUGGCACAUUGAUGAAGAGCUGGCAGGACUGGAAGGAGGGUGGCGGUGGGUUAUUCUUGUGACAUGCAAUGGUACUUCAGAGCCUCAAGACUCGAGUUCACUAAUGACCAGCCUUCUCCAGAGGGAGCGACUGUUUCUGCAUGUGAGGCUGAAAGGGGCUACUUACUGUAGGGUCAGAAUUACAUACACCUUCUUUAAAUGCUUCUAUUACAUAAGUUUGCCAUUACCAGACAGGGUAGCACAAUGUAGCUCAGACUGGCAUUUAACUCCAAGUCCUGCCUCUGCCUCCUGGGAUGGAUUUUGAGCAUUUAGCACCACACUAGCCCCUUAGCAAAUUCUUUUUUUUUUUUAGGCCAGAAUAUGCGAAUGGACACAGAGACUGUAAACUAGGUCAGGUCUCUGGUGUCCAGAGUAGUGCAAACUGGCCCUUCUAUUGUUACUUGAGGUUGGUGGCAGCUCCUCAAGGGAGAGCUUUUGCUGGUAAUUCCUAGAGCCCCAGAGCUUCUUCCUGGGUUGCAGAAGGGUUAUGUUCCUGCCGUAAAGGAGCCAUAAAGGGAACCAUGUGGGACUUUCUCUUCCUCCCCACAACCCUGGGGCCACCCUGUAAGCAGAGUUCUCCUGUGCUGUGAUGGGGUCAAGUUGUGCCAGGCUGAGCUUGGGCACCCAAAUCACCAGGCUCCACUCCCAUAUUACCUUGAAGAGCUUGAGGGCCUCCGUCUGUAGAGCCUCGGAGGGCAGCGUGGUGAGGGAAGCACACAGCCCUUCUUGACUGUAGCACAGCAUGGGGUGCCUCCAGAGCGGGGAGUCUGCACAAAGCAUGGACCAGAGAGCAAUGCAAUCACUACAGGGAAAACUCACCUCCUACCUACCAGUCCCAGCUCAGACUUGCAGGGAAGACUGUGGCUUAAUGCUAUGGGAAACGUGGGUUUUGCUGGGUUGAUCAUCUACAGGCUGGAGGCCAUGUCAGUGUUUUGCAAGUUGCACACUCCCAUACAGCUAAGGAGGAAGGCGGCCAAAGCACUGCCGAGGAGCCGCAAAGGUUAAGUGAACACAGCUGUGAGUACACACACGCAGGGACAGCCUUCCCUCCAGUUUCAGGCUGGAGGAACAGAUGCGUCAGCCUGAAACACACCUACCCUGAGAGCAGUAGAAAAGACACCUCAGGUUGGUCCACGAGGACCCUGAGGAUUAGUAGCAAAAUAAGGACUCCCAACAUCCCAGGCUUGGGUUGGUCUGAUCCAAAUUGAAGCUUCACUUAUUAACAAACUCAACUGUAGAUUAACCAGCUGCCUCCCACUCGACCCCCUACCCCCAUGUCUUCUGCAUAGCUAGCAAAGCUACCGAUUAAACAGAGUAAACAUUCACCUAGGCUUCUGGGAAGUCUGUUUCCCAGACAGACUCCCUCACGCACAGUGGUUUCCUCAGUGUUGUGACCAGACAUGGAGAGAGCAACACUGGAGCGUGCGAUGGGACUUCCCUCAGGCACGCUCAGCGCAGCUUAUGUGUAACAGUGCUCUCUGCUUCUCUUCCGAUUAGAGCCCUGCCAGGUCCCUGCUGCCCAGGCACCGAUGGCCACUCCUUCUUUCCUUACCUGGGUUGCCCUCACCGUCCAUCAGUUUCCCAAUGAGCUGCUCAUAGACAGUGCCCACCUUGGCACUGCUGCCACCUGCAGCCACUGUGAGGUGGUAAAGCCAUGUGUCCUGGGAGAUGACAGAAAACACUCAGAUGUAAUGUGGUAGGAGGAGGGCUUUGGGGCAGGGGAUGCAGCUCAGAAACAGAACACUCGUCUAACGUGUAAGGCUCUGGGUUUGAUUCUCAGGCUAUGUGAGACCCUGUCUUGGGGCGUGGGUGUGUUGGGGGAGGCGGGCUUUCAUUAGUUUGGCUGGCAUUAAGUCAAGAUCACCCCUCCAAAGAGAGAGACAGGAUCAGGUAAACCCAAGUUUCAAAGUAGAAGCUCUGUCAUGGUGCAUGAUGAAGAGACGGAUGCCGGGAGGAAAUAGAACUUGAAUUUGGAAAGCUCAGGGGAGAGAAGGGGAGUCAGAACACAGGUCAAGCUCCUCCCUUACCUUUUCAUGCUUGGUGCCUAUGAGGAGGUAGGUGGGGCUGUGCUCUGGUGGGUGGAUCACCAGUGUGCAGUGAGAGGACAGCAAGCGUCCAGUUCCUCCAGCCUCAUAGUCUUCGUCUGAGUCGCAGGAUCGAUCUACUUCCUCUAUAUGAGCGUCCCGAACAGGUAGGCAGCCCAGGGGUCUCUGUGGACAUGAGCCUUCCAUGAAUAGGAAAACAGAUGGAGAAGGAAGUCUCCUUUUCGAAUGCUUAGGCUGUGUGGGGCUGGAGAUCAUACAUGUGGACAGAAGGCAGUUAGGUGAGGAGACAGAAGAGGCAGCAUGGCAGAAGACUGCUUUAGAAAGUCCAGCGGACUACAUGGCCAUGAUGCUGGCCGUGUGCCCGGGAGGGAGCUGGACAGCCAGUCUUUGCAUUUGCUGAAGGUAAGCUGGGGACUGUGUCAGUGACAUGCAGCUAUGCAGCUUGGAGGUGGCACUGUUAGGAAGCUCAUACCUUGUCCUCGUGGCUCCGGUAGUAGUAGAAGGUUUUCCCAACAAGGGCACACCAGACCAGCUUGGAGUGGCCAUGCUUUACCUGUAAGUAAAGUGACUUCUCUAGACCAGGGCUGGCCAAGACAGGCCAAGGGAAGGUUGCCAAAAUCAGGUCUCCUCUCACAGUGAAACUGCUACAUUACGUAACCCAGCCACUGCCACUGUCGGGCCACCCAGGACCUAUGACCGGCCAGUGAAAGAUUAUCCUGGAAAUCAGAAUAUUCUAGCUGGCAGAGGCAGAGUUGUAAGGAUGCCUCGCAAGGUAAAAAAAGGGCCCCUGGUGGUGUGAAUCACCAGGGAACAGCAACUGCGCUCUCACACAGAAGAACGGAAGAACGGAAGAACGGCAGACUGACUCAUGGGAAGCAGAGGCUCAGGAAAGUCUGAGCAAGCGCCUGCUGGCUGAGCUCAGCCACUGUCCCUAAGUGUUCAGCCUGUUAAUGCGCUCCCUAGUUAACUCCCCUUUCAUCCCGACACAGCUAGUUAUACUGUGGGGGGCCACGACUAAUGUCCUAAACAUUUAGUAAAAACAUUUCUUUUCCUUCCGUCUUGAGAGUAAGUGUUCUGAUAGCCCCCAUCUCUGUUUCCAGAAUCACCACCAUUAUUUUGUAUGUUCAAAUCAUAUUUGGGGGCCAACCCACUAAGCACUGGGAUGUAGUUCUUAGAGAAUGGAGCCUACCAUCUCUGGGCACUCCCAUAUCGGGCUCUUAUUACCUCCCUCCUAGUUCCACUUGUACCUUCGUCAGCCAGCCCUUCACAGUAGGCUUGGUGCCCCCUUGAUGCAGGGCUGGAGGGCCAGUGACCUGCACCUUCAGCAGGCUCUGUAGGACCCGGAUCCAUUCUUCCAGGAGGCUGGGGGACUCUGCUGUUAGGUAGUAGAUUUUGUUUCCAGAGAUGAGCUGUGGGUGUGGGUUGGGGGUAGGGGUUAAAGCUAGCAACAGUCUGAAGGCACAGAUCCUUCGACAUGCUGGCCUCCCCACUGACCACCUGUUCUCUCCCCUUCCUAUCGUCCCUGACUUUCUUCCCUUCCUUUUAUCUCUCAUUCUGUCUCUUCUUUCUCAUGCUCACAACCUAAGAGUACAUCCUUCUCGUGGUGUGACAUCAUCCACUCAUGUUUUGUUUGGCCUCAUCUUUGCCUCAGUCACAGCCAUACCUGAGCCCAACACCAUGCAGUCUAUGCUGCUACAAGCAGGCUCACCUGAAAUGUCUGUGCUUCUUCCCCUCGGACAAUCUGGCAAUGAGAGUUCAGAUCCACUUGACCUUGAGGUUUCCGAAUGACGUCAUUCUGUGAAAGGAAGGAGUAAAGAGGAGAGCAUUGGAGUUGGAGGCUUCUCAGAUCACCAUUUCUUACUCCAGGUCACAGGCUUGAAGGAAAAAGAGAGUCCCACGCUAUGGUACAAUGAGUGACUUGUUCUAGAUUUUUAUUCUAGCAAAAUAAAACCAUAAUUAGGAACAUGAAACCCUCUAACGUAGGCCUUAAAGGAUCUCAAAAAGCAGACUUUAAAAUGGGAUCAGAAACCCAUCUAUAAAGUCCUCCUAGUCCUUUGACCAAAAUAUGUGCAGUGACACGUCCCUAGUCGCAGCUCUUUAGUGGGCCGCGGCAAGAGGCUUAGUCAAAGGACGCAUACAUCACUAUUAUCCAGGAUUAUUAGACAUUACUAAUUGAUAGUGGCAUGUUUCUCACCGAGGUAUAUAGGCUCAGAAUCCUUAAUGUGGGCAUGCUAGAAACAAUGUCUACUAAGCAAUCAGUUUCUCGAGAGACAGAUCCUUUUUUCCUCUUUAUUAAAACAUUAUGAUUGGGUCUGCCAACCUGUUCUCAAUAUCCAAGGCUCCUCAAUUCCAGACCGUGGAGGAAGAAGGGGAAACAAUGAACUUUUCUGUUAGAACAAUCCAGAAGAGGUAAGGGCAGCCUGGGAACAACCUUUUACAAGGCUAGGCAUACGAGGAAAUCAGUUCUGAAGGAAGAGGAAAUCCCUAACCAGCUGGCCUAGGACUGCUUUGAUAGUCCUUCAGCUCAUUUUGAGAACAGGUGACUACCUCAGAGUCUCCUGUGUGGCUCGGCACCUGCAAAGGCCAGUCAGGCCGUCAAGUCUUCUACCUGCCAGGCCUCAAGCCACACUGCCUUCCCUUUAGUCCCUUAUACGGUUCUGGGUCUGGGCUGUGCUUGUGUGGUUCCGUGGUCAUGGUCCUGAGGGGGGACUCACCGGAGACUUGUAGUAUAGAAUUUGUCCCUGUCUCAGGACAAACCAGCGCCUCUUCCAGGUCUUCACCCGGCUCCCCAUUUUCAGCAGGUAGCCUGACUUUUCCAGUGUCUCCUGAAGUAGAAAGCAAGAAGAGAAGAGGGGACAAAAGGGAGUCGCAUGAGGCUCCUGAGCGGUUAAAGGCAAGGAGGAGAGGGGGCAAACGGGAAGAAGUCGGAUGAGGACCCUGAGGAGAAAAAGACAAGGAGGGAAAGGGGAAAGUCACAGAAGGCUGCCGACACCACUCAAGACAAAAUGGUCUAGGCCACCUCUGUCAUUGUGUGUCUAAUGAGUAUUUCCAGGCGCCGUGCUCCUGUGAGAUCCAGAGAGAACUGAAUAAAUAAGGUAAGGCAGUACUACCGUGAGAUCUCAGUGAGGACUGGGGAAGACCACCCAGUCGCCGUGAGAUGGUGGCACACCAGGGGCUGUCAGCAGCAGAGAAGCUGGCCAGAGAAGCUGGCUUCAGGGAAGAGUAGCAUCCCACCUCACCUACGUCAAUGAGGUUCCAACCCUCCUAGUGCUGGGACCUUUCAAUACAGCUCAUGCUGUGCUGGCCCCAAACCAUACAAUUAUUUUUGUUGCUACUUUAUAACCAUAGUUUUGCUACUGUUGUGAAUUGUAAAAUCCCUGAUAUUCAGGAUGUCUGAUAUGUAAUCCCUGUGAAAGGGUUGCUUGACUCCCAUGGGGUUGAGACCCACAAGUUGAGAAGAAUCACUGCUCUAACUGAAAGGCUAGUCCUCACAGACCAGCAGAGAGGAGGAAGGCCAUUUGAGGCAUCAGAGAUGGGAGAAAGCAGGCAGGUCUCUAGCCACAGGCACAUCCAUAAAACACAGCAGGAACCAUGACGACCAUGAGGCAGAGAAGACAGGAGGGCCUGAGGCAGCCACCUGACUGCUGAACCUUAACUGUUAGCUCAUGCCAGCACCUGAGGGUCAGGAUGGAGAUUAAAGAGGGUAACAGGUGCAAACCGUCAUGGGUUUUGAGAAAUUCCUGGGCUUGAACUCUGUCUUUCUUCAUCUUGGAGUUUGUGCACAGCUGUCUCUGAAACCCACUCGAGCCUCCUUCUCCCUACUUUCUCUGGGUUCUUCCCCUCGCUCUCUGCUGCCUUCAUGGGCACUGAGGCCCAGGCAACCUCUGCUCAGGCUCACCCCUCCUAGCGCCCUUCCCCAUCCCACACAUGUACUGUGCUCACCCCCUCCCCACCCCACACAUGUACUGUCACAUGCUCACUCCCUCCCCAUCCCACACAUGUACUGAGCUCACCCCCUCCCCACCCACACAUGUACUGUGCUCACCCCCUCCCCACCCCACACAUGUACUGUGCUCACCCCUCCCCACCCCACACAUGUACUGUGCUCACCCCUUCCCCACCCCACACAUGUACUGUCACAUGCUCACCCCCUCCCCACCCCACACAUGUACUGUGCUCACCCCUUCCCCACCCCACACAUGUACUGUGCUCACCCCCUCCCCACCCACACAUGUACUGUGCUCACCCCCUCCCCAUCCCACACAUGUACUGUGCUCACCCCCUCCCCACCCACACAUGUACUGUGCUCACCCCCUCCCCAUCCCACACAUGUACUGUGCUCACCCCCUCCCCACCCCACACAUGUACUGUGCUCACCCCCUCCCCACCCACACAUGUACUGUGCUCACCCCCUCCCCAUCCCACACAUGUACUGUGCUCACCCCCUCCCCAUCCCACACAUGUACUGUGCUCACCCCCUCCCCCCCACACGUGUACUGUGCUCACCCCGUCAGUGGAGUACGCUGAAGUGCGCUGGAGUUUGUGCUCAGGUUCUGAGUAGUCACUGUCCAGGGAGCAGGCAUCAGGAGGGAUGGCAUAGUCCCCCUCGGAGCUCAGUGAGGACAUGGAGACCCCUAGCCAGAGGAAAAGGAGUCAGGAAUCAAAGCUGGGAUCCCACACCCCUUCCACCCAGGGCCAGAGAUGCAAGGCCUUCAUUACCCACUGGGAUCCCAAGUCUGGAACUGAGGGUUAAACUGUUAGAGACCCCAGGCAGAGAACAGGCAAGAAAAACGGAGUCCCUCCCCUUCUCUGUACCUCUCUUGAUGGCCCGGGGGCUGCCUAGUCCACUGGUCUUCCUAUACUCAGAGCAAGGGACUGACAUCCGGAAACUCGCUUGAGAGCCGCAGUCAUCAUCGGACCCAGAGGACUCAUCCACAAAAGGCACGUUGCUGAUCUGUGUGGCUUUCUGCAAGAGAGGAGCCUCCCCAACUACAGCUUCGAAACAAGCCCUCUUCCACACAACAGCUGUAUCUACUUUGGCAGUCCUCCAUGCCUGCUGCACCCAGGGAACGGGGGCCAGGCCCAUAAGGAGAUCUGUAGGCCUCCACACACCACUUGUACUCACCGAAACAGGAAGCAGUAUUUCGGGACGACACAUCUGACAGCUGCAUGCCUGAUGUGGCCAUCGCAUAGAUCCUGCGCUCCUGAAAGAAAAAGUCCCAGAUGGUCAGGGACUAUGCUCACCUCAGCCCUUCCAAGAAAGUGGAGGGAAGACAUGACUUGGGUGGUAGGCAGAACUGGGUUCACCACUCCCGAAGAGCUGGUUACUGGCUAAGGUAUUUUAAACAAAUGUCUUCAUUUCUAAGCCUUAAUUUCUCAGCUCUAAAAUACUACUGAGUUUUUAAGAGCCUGCUAAAACUCUUAAAAUUAAGUCAUUAAUGUAUAAUAUAAUGCAUAAAUACAAAUAAAUGUGUAAUAUAAGCAGGA